AUUGAACGCUGGCGGCAUGCUUUACACAUGCAAGUCGAACGGUAACAGGUUAAGCUGACGAGUGGCGAACGGGUGAGUAAUGCAUCGGAACGUGCCCGAUCGUGGGGGAUACCGCAGCGAAAGCUGCGCUAAUACCGCAUACGAGCUGAGGAUGAAAGCGGGGGACCGUAAGGCCUCGCGCGAUCGGAGCGGCCGAUGUCAGAUUAGGUAGUUGGUGGGGUAAAGGCUCACCAAGCCAACGAUCUGUAGCUGGUCUGAGAGGACGACCAGCCACACUGGGACUGAGACACGGCCCAGACUCCUACGGGAGGCAGCAGUGGGGAAUUUUGGACAAUGGGCGAAAGCCUGAUCCAGCAAUGCCGCGUGCAGGAAGAAGGCCUUCGGGUUGUAAACUGCUUUUGUACGGAGCGAAAAGGCUCUCUCUAAUACAGGGGGCUCAUGACGGUACCGUAAGAAUAAGCACCGGCUAACUACGUGCCAGCAGCCGCCGCCG
Molecule: ribosomal RNA, 493 nt
Filed under: uncultured bacterium
Lineage: Bacteria
Description: partial 16S ribosomal RNA
Rfam family: Bacterial small subunit ribosomal RNA
Source: RNAcentral